Molecule: ribosomal RNA, 433 nt
Filed under: uncultured bacterium
Lineage: Bacteria
Description: partial 16S ribosomal RNA
Rfam family: Bacterial small subunit ribosomal RNA
Source: RNAcentral
AACGAACGCUGGCGGCAUGCCUAACACAUGCAAGUCGAACGAGACCUUCGGGUCUAGUGGCGCACGGGUGCGUAACGCGUGGGAACCUGCCCUUAGGUUCGGAAUAACUCCCCGAAAGGGGUGCUAAUACCGGAUAAUUUCUCCGGACCAAAGAUUUAUCGCCUUUGGAUGGGCCCGCGUUGGAUUAGCUAGUUGGUAGGGUAAAAGCCUACCAAGGCGACGAUCCAUAGCUGGUCUGAGAGGAUGAUCAGCCACACUGGGACUGAGACACGGCCCAGACUCCUACGGGAGGCAGCAGUGGGGAAUAUUGGACAAUGGGCGAAAGCCUGAUCCAGCAAUGCCGCGUGAGUGAUGAAGGCCUUAGGGUUGUAAAGCUCUUUUACCCGGGAUGAUAAUGACAGUACCGGGAGAAUAAGCUCCGGCUAACUCCGUG